UAAAGAUUGCUUUUAUAGAUUUAAAAUUUGAUUAUGGUUUUUGAAUUGUUAAAAUAAUAUUAUUUAAGUUUAAUUUAUUUAGUGGGCAAUGUUAAUUUACCCCGGUAAUUAAUUAUUUGUAUAAUACUUGUUCCAGAAUAAUCGGCUAGGCUUGUUAAAAUUUAAACUUUAUUUUGUUUUAAUUAUAAUUUUAGUUAAUAAUUUAUUUAAUUAUAGGUUAAAUUUUAAUUAAUUGAAAGUUAAGAAUUAUAAUUUUAAGUUUCGGGAAACGAAUUAGAUUAGUACCUAAUUAGUCGAAAGUUAAAAGAGCAGGAGUAAAGUGGCAUUUAAACUGAAAGAAUAUUGGCAGAUUUUCUAAAUUAUCUUUGGAGGUUGAGUGAUAAUUGAGAACCCUCAUUAACUACUUUUUUGUUAGUCUCAUGUAUGAUCGUUUAUUUUAUACUUAAGGUAUAUAAUAAAAAAUUUUUGUUUAGUAAAAUAGAUAUAUAUUUGGUUUAUGUAAAAGUUUAAUUUGACCUACAAUAGUUUAUGUUUGUGGAUUUGCAGUUUAGUAAUUGUAAUGAAAAUGUAAAAGACAGUAAAAAAAUUUUUUAUGAUUUUUUGAAGAUUAUUUAGAUGUGGUACAAAUCAUCCAUCAAUUGCCCAAAGGGGAGUAAGUUGUAGUAAAGUAGAUUUAGGGGAACCUUAAUCUAAUAAU
Molecule: non-coding RNA, 697 nt
Filed under: Ancylostoma duodenale
Lineage: Eukaryota; Metazoa; Nematoda; Chromadorea; Rhabditida; Ancylostomatidae
Source: RNAcentral